UACGUAGGUGACAAGCGUUGUCCGGAUUUAUUGGGCGUAAAGAGCGUGUAGGCGGCCAGACAGGUCCGUUGUGAAAACUGGAGGCUCAACCUCCAGACGUCGAUGGAAACCGUCUGGCUAGAGUCCGGAAGAGGAGAGUGGAAUUCCUGGUGUAGCGGUGAAAUGCGCAGAUAUCAGGAAGAACACCCGUGGCGAAAGCGGCUCUCUGGGACGGUACUGACGCUGAGACGCGAAAGCGUGGGGAGCGAACAGG
Molecule: ribosomal RNA, 253 nt
Filed under: uncultured bacterium
Lineage: Bacteria
Description: partial 16S ribosomal RNA
Rfam family: Bacterial small subunit ribosomal RNA
Source: RNAcentral